UACGGAGGGUGCGAGCGUUGUCCGGAUUUAUUGGGCUUAAAGGGUGCGCAGGUGGCCCGGCCAGUCAGUGGUGAAAUGCGGCCGCUCAACGGUCGAACUGCCAUUGAUACUACCGGGCUUGAGAGAAGUAGAGGCUGCCGGAACGGACGGUGUAGCGGUGAAAUGCAUAGAUAUCGUCCAGAACGCCGAUGGCGAAGGCAGGUGGCUGGGCUUGUUCUGACACUGAGGCACGAAAGCGUGGGGAGCGAACAGG
This 253-nucleotide ribosomal RNA is filed under the name uncultured bacterium. RNAcentral's name for it is "partial 16S ribosomal RNA". It matches the Rfam family "Bacterial small subunit ribosomal RNA", at positions 524 to 776 of the family's 1533-position model. The record is from RNAcentral.